ACCAAUUUGAUGCAGUGUCCAACGUAGGGUCUGAGCACUGACAUACUGACCCCCCACCCCUUCAACCUCUGCAGCAAAUGCUGGCAGCACUCAUACGUCAAUCUUACAAUGGGCUUUAAAAUGGUCUUUUCC
Molecule: long non-coding RNA, 132 nt
Organism: Nanorana parkeri
Lineage: Eukaryota; Metazoa; Chordata; Amphibia; Anura; Dicroglossidae
Exons: 3
Source: RefSeq, a predicted model, not a curated record